GUGAAUCAUCGAAUUUUUGAACGCAAAUUGCACUCUCCUCUGAUAGUAUGCCUGUUUGAGUUUCAGCCUAUAAAAAUCGACAUCGUUGCUGUUUCACUUCGGCGUUCGUCUGAAAUUGGGUCAUCUUAAAUCCUUUUGAUUUAAGCGACUUAAAAUUUUCGUUGUAUUCCAUGAACGUUUCUAAGAUCUAUUUCUGUACACGUUUAAGUUAUCGAUUUUUACUAGACGUGACCAUCAUAGCGGAUCGCGUCCAUAAUCUUUCAUUAACUGACCUCAUACAGGUAAUAGUACUCGCUGAA
Molecule: unclassified non-coding RNA, 299 nt
Filed under: Glomus sp.
Lineage: Eukaryota; Fungi; Glomeromycota; Glomeromycetes; Glomerales; Glomeraceae
Description: partial internal transcribed spacer 2
Rfam family: 5.8S ribosomal RNA (bases 1-65)
Source: RNAcentral